This 1385-nucleotide long non-coding RNA is filed under the name Olea europaea subsp. europaea. Lineage: Eukaryota; Viridiplantae; Streptophyta; Magnoliopsida; Lamiales; Oleaceae. The record is from RNAcentral.
CCACAAUUACAUUGAUUAAGCCCCAAGAUAUUUGGUUUGAUAGAACUAUACAUUUAAUGCGAGACUAGUAGUUUAGACCUGGUAAGUCAUACACAAUCAUACGCUGUGCUUCCUUCUGAUUUUUCCCUUGCCAUGGCUCUUCUUUUUUGCAAUCUUGAUUUUCAUUUUCAGCUUCUUCCGAAUUGGUUUUAAGGCUUUAGAAGUUUGACCACCAUCAGUCAUCUCCACAUCUGCUAAACAAUGGAAACGACAUUAAUAUACAAAGAAAGACAUUUUUGUACUAAGAAGUGUGAAAAAUAUGGUUCCAUACACGUGUAUUCAUCAUGAAUGGAUAUAUAAAAGAAUGAUUUAUCCAGAUUUUUCAAGAUACCAGAAGGUUGAUAGACAUUACAAUAUAUUAAUAGAACGCUUUUAAUCACCAGUUAAGAAAAGUCAAAACAGUUAUGCAGAAUAGAGUUUACAAGUAUAUAGUAGUUAUCCAUCAAGGCCGCUAAAUGCUCCUCUACAUAUAGCUUCAAUACAUUCUAUGAAGAGCAAAAAGGCUAUCUUUCAAAGGAAACUGCUUGAUGCCUUCUUAUAGAUGAACUCUAAUUGUGUACAGAAAUGUUUGUAUCUUUUCAAUAUUGUACACUUUCUUUACAAUUUUAGUCUCAUAUUCCCAGGAGACUAUAUCUCAAGAAGGGUUAAAUACACCGUCAGUCACCUAGCAAGGCUUCAAGUUGGCUACCAGACUUUAUUUUGCUCCAACUUAGACACUGACCUAUUGAUAUUGUUUAGGUUUGCUCUUGCUCACCCCGUUCAACUCUAUCUCACAAACUAAUGGAAAAAACUUGUGGACAUGGUGGAUGAAACUGAUUUGUAAUUAUGCAGCUGUUAGCUAACAUGCUUUGGCAUGCCACAUGUAAAAAGCCAUUUAAAUGAUGAAGUCAUUUUAUGUGAAUGCAACUUUACUAUUUAUCCAAGAGUUUUACUGUGGUCAUCAUAAUAAUCUCCAUGCAUCAAUCCAAAAACUCCAAUAUUUGACUCAAGUCAACAAGCUCUUACUAAAUUCCUCAUUUAGAUUUGUCAUUAUUAACAACUAUAUUCGUUCUUACUGCCAGUAUUGUUGUUAUUAUACACAUCAUUAUAGUAAUCAUGAGAAUAUAGUUCUCGAACCUGCUGUUGCAGUUUAGACGGAGCUGAUUGUAGGAGGAGGAGGAAUAGCGGGACUCAAUAAUUUUAUAACAGGGAUGCUUCGUUUACUUGGCAUAGCAGGAAAUGGCCACAUUAAUAGCCGUGUUCAAUGAAUGAAUGGGUUGUUUGAGCAGAAAAAGAGUUGAGAUCUGAGAAGGUGGAAAACCUUCUGUUCUCUGUCUCUAUUUCAGUAAGGUGGGUGGCCCGGGGGG